RNAcentral lists this ribosomal RNA (796 nucleotides) under uncultured bacterium. Its description in RNAcentral is "bacterial SSU rRNA". It matches the Rfam family "Bacterial small subunit ribosomal RNA", at positions 77 to 859 of the family's 1533-position model. The record is from RNAcentral.
UUGCAGAGUGCGGAUGAGUGGCGAACCGGGUGAGUAACACGUGGGGAAUCUGCCUGGGAGUGGGGGAUAACAUUCGGAAACGGAUGCUAAUACCGCAUAUCUUCUUAGACUGCAUGGUCUAUGAAUGAAAGACGGCUUUGCUGUCGCUCUUAGAUGAUCCCGCGGCGUAUUAGUUAGUUGGUGGGGUAAAGGCCUACCAAGACAAUGAUACGUAGCCGACCUGAGAGGGUGAUCGGCCACACUGGGACUGAGACACGGCCCAGACUCCUACGGGAGGCAGCAGUAGGGAAUCUUCCACAAUGGGUGCAAACCUGAUGGAGCAAUGCCGCGUGAAUGAAGAAGGUCUUCGGAUCGUAAAGUUCUGUUAUUAGUGAAGAACAAAUCGAGGAGUAACUGUCUCGAUUUUGACGGUAACUAACCAGAAAGUCACGGCUAACUACGUGCCAGCAGCCGCGGUAAUACGUAGGUGACAAGCGUUGUCCGGAAUUAUUGGGCGUAAAGGGAGCGCAGGCGGUUGGAAUAGUCUGAUGUGAAAGCCCACGGCUUAACCGUGGAAGGUCAUUGGAAACUGUCCAACUUGAAUGCAGAAGAGGUAAGUGGAAUUCCAUGUGUAGCGGUGAAAUGCGUAGAUAUAUGGAGGAACACCAGUGGCGAAGGCGACUUACUGGUCUGUAAUUGACGCUGAGGCUCGAAAGCGUGGGUAGCGAACAGGAUUAGAUACCCUGGUAGUCCACGCCGUAAACGAUGAGUGCUAAGUGUUGGAGGGUUUCCGCCCUUCAGUGCUGGAGUUAACGCA